Molecule: long non-coding RNA, 200 nt
Organism: Thalassophryne amazonica
Lineage: Eukaryota; Metazoa; Chordata; Actinopteri; Batrachoidiformes; Batrachoididae
Exons: 2
Source: RefSeq, a predicted model, not a curated record
ACAAAUCAGAGGAGGGGCAUCAACAGAAGAGCUCGCCAUCCACAACCGAGGGAGAGACGGGUACGUGGAGCGGAAGAACUUCCUGGAGCGUGUUGACCAUCGACAGUUCGAGCUGGAAAAAGCGGUGCGACUCAGCAACAUGAAACGAUGACACGUCGAUAUUUUAGAGCGGCCAAGCUGCUGCUCGUCCACCAGGACAG